CCCCGCUGCCCUCGAUGGGCGUUUCCUCCCUAGACUUCGGGCCGCUCCUCGUGGGCGGCCUCUUUUUUGGGCCGUC
This 76-nucleotide small RNA is filed under the name Methylobacterium sp. 4-46. RNAcentral's name for it is "Makes More Granules Regulator RNA (mmgR)". It matches the Rfam family "Makes More Granules Regulator RNA (mmgR)". Rfam says of the family: SuhB later renamed mmgR (makes more granules regulator) was a putative non-coding RNA found multiple times in the Agrobacterium tumefaciens genome and related alpha-proteobacteria. The record is from Rfam by way of RNAcentral. Lineage: Bacteria; Pseudomonadati; Pseudomonadota; Alphaproteobacteria; Hyphomicrobiales; Methylobacteriaceae.